Molecule: transfer RNA, 62 nt
Filed under: Buthus occitanus (common European scorpion)
Lineage: Eukaryota; Metazoa; Arthropoda; Arachnida; Scorpiones; Buthidae
Description: tRNA-Trp
Source: RNAcentral
AAAGUGUUAAGUUAAGAAAACUGAAGACCUUCAAAGUCUUUUUUGGUGAGAACCAUACUUUA